RNAcentral lists this transfer RNA (87 nucleotides) under Candidatus Moraniibacteriota bacterium. Its description in RNAcentral is "tRNA-Ser". It matches the Rfam family "tRNA". From Rfam's summary of the family: Transfer RNA (tRNA) molecules are approximately 80 nucleotides in length. Their secondary structure includes four short double-helical elements and three loops (D, anti-codon, and T loops). Lineage: Bacteria; Candidatus Moraniibacteriota. The record is from RNAcentral.
GGAGAGGUCGCAUAGUGGUCGAGUGCACUACCUUGGAAAGGUAGCAUACUGGAAACGGUAUCGAGGGUUCGAAUCCCUCUCUCUCCG